RNAcentral lists this ribosomal RNA (594 nucleotides) under Triticum aestivum (bread wheat). Its description in RNAcentral is "partial small subunit ribosomal RNA". The record is from RNAcentral. Lineage: Eukaryota; Viridiplantae; Streptophyta; Magnoliopsida; Poales; Poaceae.
AUGGGGGGGAGGCUGACCUUGCUAGAUUCGGUAGUCACCCAAAUAUCCUUGUACCAUAUGUCUAUGUGGCUUAUGAACAAAACUUUCAUUGAGCGCCUUGACAAACAUAGACGAAAGUUCUUUUGGCAAGGGUGCAAUAAGAAGAGGAGGUAUCAUCUUGUUAGAUGGAACAGGAUCUGCAGAUCCAGAGAUAAAGGUGGUUUGGGGAUUAAGGACCUCCACAAACAGAAUGUUAGUUUGAUGGUCAAAUGGUGGUGGAAACUAGAGACCCAAACGGGGAUGUGGCAAGAUAUUGUUUGUGCACGCUACCUGACAAACAAAUAUGUGGCCUCGGUUAAGCCCAGGUUUUCCGAUUCCCCUUGUUGGAAAGCCUUACUAAAAGUAAAAGAUAUUUACUUAGUUGGCAGGAAGAUCCAUCUAGAAUCUGGUGACCUCGUCAGAAUCUGGAAAGAUUCCAUAAAGGGGUUGAGUCCUUUUCAGACUCUAUAUCCAUUGCUCUUUGAGAUAUGUAAUGAUCAGGAUUGCACCGUUGAUAGGUUCAAUUCUGUGGACGUCCACACCUUCUUCAGAAGGAGGCUCACACCUAAGUUAUCC